This 693-nucleotide long non-coding RNA is filed under the name Androctonus crassicauda. The record is from RNAcentral. Lineage: Eukaryota; Metazoa; Arthropoda; Arachnida; Scorpiones; Buthidae.
UGAUCUUGUAUUUACAUGUAGGGAUUCAAGUUUCAUCUGUUUCAGUCGUGGAUCCAGGAUCGAUUAGUAAUCUUCUGUUAUUCGUUUAAACCAGGAGUCUCCAAAUUAUGAACUGUGAUAUGAUUUUGGUCGAACGAUCUUAUGAGGUUUAAAAAAGCAGCUUUUAGGACAUACGUAAGGAGAGCCUUUACUUACUGUUCAGACCCAGCUGAUUACGAAAAAGAACUACAAUACUUGAUAAAUCAAGCCAAAAAGCAUGGCUAUACAGAAGGAUUUGUAAGAUCGAUUGAAAGUAAGGUCAAGACGACAUUAACAUCUUCGCAAAUGCCACUGAACGCACACAACUAUCAAAACCAAACCAAGAUUGAAGAAAAUAAAGAAAAUGGAUACAUCUCUGUUCUGUAUGACCUAACUAAAUACCCAGUGAUUAAAAAAUAGCUAAGCUUCAUAAUAAAAAAAUAGCAGUCCAAAGGAAUCCUACGGUGUUCUCUUCCCUAAGAAACUCCAAAGACAGGCUUAAAGACAACUGCAAAUCAGGAGUAUACGGUAUUCAAGUAAAAAAUAUGAACACAGGACAAGAAAGUUACUACAUUGGAUACACAAGUCGCACAUUAGACGAAAGAAUAGAUGAACAUAAAAAGAUCUCCAGCAAGGUAGAUUAUCCACCGGCCUAGCAGAAGCUUGCUACUCUAC